Molecule: long non-coding RNA, 1569 nt
Filed under: Setaria viridis
Lineage: Eukaryota; Viridiplantae; Streptophyta; Magnoliopsida; Poales; Poaceae
Description: long non-coding RNA (SVIR_LNC003153)
Source: RNAcentral
CCGGAUCUAUGGAGCCUUGUACCAAGGGAAGUGAGCCCAACACAGGUCUGGGAAUUGAUGGUGAUGGGUGACAAAUGAAGCGACCACUCGUGGUGUGUGAAUGUCGUGGGAUUAGGUUCACCAUGUAUGGUUAAGAAAUUCGAAUUGAUUCGUUUGCCUCUCAUAGUUUGGGACUACUUGAUCGCUAUGCUACACUGAGUAAGAAUGAAAGAUGAUGAUGAUCUAAUAUUGUUACCUAUAUUAUUUGCUUGGAAACUAUGCUUGGUUUAGUAUAGUUGCUAACUUAGAAUGGUAAAACAACAAUAGAACUUGUGGCUAAAAUAUUGAAAGUAAGGAGUGUUCUGAUGAGGAGAACAGAGACUGAGGAUGGAGGUCAUACCAUAUCCACCGAUGUGGGAUUCGACAAGACUAGGCAGCGCCUGUACACCCACUCUCUUAUCCUCCCCUGACCUAUAAGGACCAUCCCCUUAUACUAUAAAAGGGGACGGACCCCCCGCUUCUACAGAUAUGUGCUCUCAGACUCUUCAAACACUCUCUCUCACUUGGAAGUUCUGAGACUCUUGAACGAACAUUCCCACACGCACUCUCACACACUUAGCGCACGUCUGAGCUCCUGCCACUCUCUUCCAUUUAGACGAGAACAAGGCUAGGACUAAGGCAUCCCCUCUAAUCCACCUCUCUUUUGUACCCCCACUGCAAACUUUGGGCACCUCGGCUCAAGAAUAAAGUCAACCGAAUGACCACGACUGGAUGUAGGGCGCGUUGCCCAAACCAGUAUACAUCCUAUGUCAUUGUGUGCUAAGCCAUAUCCGAUCUAACGCAUGGCAAAACUACAAAUAUUUACUGUUCGCCAGAUUUCACACCGACAUUCCUUUUAUGCUUUCUAUCUAUCAUGAUUAUGCUUGUUCCUUAGUCUAAUGCUAUAAUUUAGACUACAUAGCAUGCUUUAUGUGAUCAUCAUGAUUAGAUCUAGUAUGUUGACCCUAUAUCAUAUCUAGACAUGUUCACCCGUGUUCGUGCCCUUAAACUGCCUACGUCGAUGGGGGGAUCGUGAUGGGGUCCGCUUCCAUGUAGGGUGGGGGUUUUGGGGAUGUUGGCCAGAGGUAGUAGUUUAAAGAUUGCUUUGGAUGUGAUGCAUGAUGUGCUUGCUUAUUGGCUGGAACUACAACUAGAAGGCGAUAGGCUCUUCUUAUCCUUGGUUAUGCUAUCUCAUAUAUAUGUGUGGAUGUGAUUAACCUGAAUCAUUGAUUGCAUAUGAAGGCAAACAUAAUAGAUAACAAUUAUUUUUAAGACUAAUGUUUCUUUGAGAUUUGUUUGUUCAAGUAAUAGGUGUUGGAAGCAACCAUGUCAAGAAAAGAGGGAUGAAUGGAGGGCCUCUCUGCAAAGAAGGUGAUGAUUUGGAGGUGAUCAAGACUGGAGGCAACAAGAUUAGAAGGCCACGACACUACCAAUCUUCUCCAAUGGAUGUUGAAGAGCUUCUAAUUGACUGAUACAACCAAGGAGGAAAACUUCUCAGAUCGUCAACACAAAGUGUAGGAUCCUCCUCUGAUCCCGACACCUUAGCUAAAG